AUGAAUUCUUACAUUUCGAUCGUUUUUCUUUUAACAUUCCGUGUUUUUUGCAGUGACACACGUUGCACGCUCAUCCUCCUAAGCCCCAAAUAUUCCAUGGCCACGUAUUUCGACCCGGACCGUCAGUCAAACGUAGACUACACAAAUGUCAAGAAGGUUCUUGAUGAUGUUCUCCCCGGCUACGCCAAAUCUGGAGGCACCUUCACCAGGCCUAUUCGUAAGUACGGCAAGCACGUGUUCUCCCACAAUACGACGUUCUGCUGCGUCAAGCAGCCGCCUGGCAGUCAGAAGGGUGCCUACUACGCCAUCCAUCACAUGCGGGUGAUCGUACGGGACCAUCAUCAACUUCUGCUACCGAGUAAACUCAAAGAUUGGGCAAAGAGCGUGUCGGCAAUCCAGGACGCGGACCUCCGACAAGAAUUCUUUUGCAUCCAGUCGGAGUUUGCGGAAAUCAUCCAUCAAGAUGUCCUUCGUACCUCGGGGCAGUUCUACCUCAACAAUCAACCGUCCAACAGUGACAUCGACACAAUGCUACAAAUGCAGGCUGACAACGACCGUUAUUUCAUGACUCCCACGAUAGACGGCGGCUUCAUCCACGCUCCGGUCCCUUGA
This 612-nucleotide ribosomal RNA is filed under the name Triticum aestivum (bread wheat). Its description in RNAcentral is "partial small subunit ribosomal RNA". Lineage: Eukaryota; Viridiplantae; Streptophyta; Magnoliopsida; Poales; Poaceae. The record is from RNAcentral.